This 321-nucleotide ribosomal RNA is filed under the name uncultured eukaryote. RNAcentral's name for it is "partial 18S ribosomal RNA". It matches the Rfam family "Eukaryotic small subunit ribosomal RNA", at positions 1470 to 1796 of the family's 1831-position model. The record is from RNAcentral.
CCCUUAGAUGUCCUGGGCCGCACGCGCGCUACACUGACAUGUUCAACAAGCCUCCUAGUUCGACAGGAUUUGGGAAAUCUUUGAACGCAUGUCGUGAUAGGGAUAGAUCAUUGCAAUUAUUGAUCUUGAACGAGGAAUUCCUAGUAAACGCGAGUCAUCAGCUCGCAUUGAUUACGUCCCCGCCCUUUGUACACACCGCCCGUCGCACCUACCGAUUGAAUGUUUCGGUGAAGAUUCCGGAUAGGACUUUUUUGAUUUAUUUCAAUUUUGUCUUAAAAGCUAUCUAAACCUCAACAUUUAGAGGAAGGUGAAGUCGUAACA